Molecule: long non-coding RNA, 237 nt
Organism: Zalophus californianus (California sea lion)
Lineage: Eukaryota; Metazoa; Chordata; Mammalia; Carnivora; Otariidae
Exons: 3
Source: RefSeq, a predicted model, not a curated record
AGAAAAGGACCAUGGAGCAGAUGAUGCCAACUAUUGUGAACACUAGCCCCAUGAUGAUGGCAACUGGGUUCACUAGUGAGGUCUCCGGCCGGGGGCAGCGUCGGCCACGUGGAGGGGACGAAGCAAAUACGCAGUGAAGGCAGGCAGGCGUAAUGGCUGGAGUCAUUGUGACCAAAAUUGAAAUACGAGGCAGCCUCAAAGUGGAAACCACAUGCUAAACCAGAAGGAUACAAGAGC